GAAGAAAGAGACUGGGAGAGAUGAACAAUGCCUCUCUUCAGUUUUCUGAUGUGAUUCCUUCCUUUACUCUGAAGAUCCUGCUGUUGGGUAAACUCUCACCAUCACCCUGCUGCAACUCCUCCCUGCCACCUACUUGGAUUACCACCCUCAUCUCAAAGCCAGCCCUGGGACACCAGCCUCCUGUUGCUGCAACUGCAGGCCCAGAUGAUUCUUCUGGGAAGAGACCCUUUCAUGGGGACUAA
Molecule: long non-coding RNA, 242 nt
Filed under: Oryctolagus cuniculus (rabbit)
Lineage: Eukaryota; Metazoa; Chordata; Mammalia; Lagomorpha; Leporidae
Description: lncRNA (ENSOCUG00000037073.1)
Source: RNAcentral